Long non-coding RNA from Pseudophryne corroboree (corroboree frog), 468 nucleotides. RefSeq lists it as uncharacterized. The record is from RefSeq and is a predicted model, not a curated record. NCBI's taxonomy places the organism in Eukaryota, Metazoa, Chordata, Amphibia, Anura, Myobatrachidae. The transcript has 4 exons.
UGGAUACCUAUGCAGGCAGACCUAUAGGACAACUGCUGGAAAAUUAAAGGGAUAUUUUUAUCCUAAGUUUACAAGUGGAUCUCUUCUGUUGGACUUCACUGAUACUUUGAAAAACUGAGGAAAUGCCAACCCAAUGAGCCAAGAAAAAUGAAUGAAAUAUAUAUUUACAUGCUGGAGAAGAAUAUAAUUCAUUAGGUGGCCUAUAAUAAGGAAUCCCAAUAAAUGCUAUCAUAUUCUGGGAAUAAUUUUCUUCAAGUUUUUUCAACUUGGUAAUAAAUAUUUUUCAAACACCCCUGAAGAAGUCGAUAUAGACGAAACGCGUUGGGUGAAAGCUCAUUAUAUUGUUGUUUUUUUCCUUAUACAAAUAAUGUUGAAAUAUACAAUUGUAUCUCCAAUAUAAAAGAAAAGGAAAAGUUUUAUGAUAAGUUUUAAAUCAAAAUCUUUUAAUAAAGAGAUAUGUGAUUCUAA